AACCAUGGCUUAAUCCAACUUUGUCAACGCUUUCUUUUUGACUUGCAUUCUUACUCAUUUAGCAACAAUUUUCUUGCUUGUGCUCUCUCUUAUCUUUUUUUUGACUGGGAUAUUUUCUUUACUAUAGUAUUCUCAUUCUUAAUAACCAUAAUCUUUCAUUAUAUACUAUUGAAUUUGCUUCAUAUCUCUCAUCUAACUACAUAAUUUUCUUGACUUUCAAACCAAUUUCAAAUUUAUAACCUCUUUGCACAACAUCCAAAACUACUCGUUUGGUCGUUAAUUCCUAAUACUCAAUACUAUUGUCGUUCUUCAAUAGUAGUG
Molecule: long non-coding RNA, 321 nt
Filed under: Physcomitrium patens
Lineage: Eukaryota; Viridiplantae; Streptophyta; Bryopsida; Funariales; Funariaceae
Description: long non-coding RNA (PPAT_LNC006868)
Source: RNAcentral